UUUCUUUGAACUGCUUCUUUUCAUUAUUCCUGUUUAACUCCUAUUUGAAAAGUCAUUUCUUGCUUCACCUGAUUGCCUGAAUAACACUAAGCCAUUUUUGUUGUGAAUAUUUUGCAACAGGCAACUUUGAGCACCACAAGGUCUCUUGCCAUCUCAGCACUGAGGAAGAGGAAGCUGUCCUUUGCAGCAUCUGUUGCCUAGCAAUCUGUUUCUCAGGUGUCUUUAGCUGUACGGCAUUGUGAUCAAAGCUUCAAAGGGUUCACAAAAUAAAGGAGUUCAUUGGCCCAUCUUUCAGAAGCAUAACAGGAAAAUGCAGUAGAAAUACAGAUGAUUUCAACCUGCACUCAAAGUUACUGCACCACCAGAGGGUUAAGCAGAGCAGUACAGAGAUCACUAAGUUGCUGAAAACAGUAUGGGGAACAAGAGUGCUCUCCCUAAAUGUAUCAUGGAUGCUGGACUUUUUUUAUGCUGCAACUUUAUAUAUUAUUUAAACUGUUCAAUGGAGAAUAUAAAUCUUAGCGUCAGAGUAGGAAGAUGCUGGGAAGUUUGUGAUACAUCCAUGACAGACACAAGAAUGGGCUCCUGGUACUGCCGCAUGGACACUGAAACCAGGGAGGCUGCUUGGGCUGAGACAUGUUCUUCCUUUGGGAGGCUCAGCUGAGACUACAUGAUUUAUUUCUGCAAAACGGAAGCCUGCCUUUUUUUGAAAAAAAGUCUCCAGGCUUGAGGUAGGAUGAUUAAAUCAAAAGCUAAGCUCUCUUUGUACCCUGUCAAAAUCCUAGUACUGUGCACUACAAAAUGGCCCAGCUAUUUUACCUAAGAAGUAAAAGUAAACGUUUUUUCCUCGUGAAGCUUAAGACUUGACACACCAUGGAGCUGCAUUCACAGAGUAGUACUGCCAUAUAGCUACUUGCUGUUACCAUGCUUCAUGCAAUCACUUAUUACUUGUGCUGAAAAAGUGGGAGAAACUGAAAAGAAUUCACUCAGCCAGGUCAAAUCUUCUCAGCAAAGAAGGCAGAAAUGAAUUCUGCUGCCACAGGGGUGACAGUCUAGGC
RNAcentral lists this long non-coding RNA (1055 nucleotides) under Anser brachyrhynchus (Pink-footed goose). RNAcentral describes it as "lncRNA (ENSABRG00000017087.1)". Lineage: Eukaryota; Metazoa; Chordata; Aves; Anseriformes; Anatidae. The record is from RNAcentral.